This 253-nucleotide ribosomal RNA is filed under the name uncultured bacterium. Its description in RNAcentral is "partial 16S ribosomal RNA". It matches the Rfam family "Bacterial small subunit ribosomal RNA", at positions 524 to 776 of the family's 1533-position model. The record is from RNAcentral.
UACGUAGGGUGCGAGCGUUAAUCGGAAUUACUGGGCGUAAAGCGUGCGCAGGCGGUUCUGCAAGUCAGAUGUGAAAUCCCCGGGCUUAACCUGGGAACUGCGUUUGAAACUACGGAGCUAGAGUGCGGCAGAGGGGGGUGGAAUUCCACGUGUAGCAGUGAAAUGCGUAGAGAUGUGGAGGAACACCGAUGGCGAAGGCAGCCCCCUGGGAUAACACUGACGCUAGGGCACGAAAGCGUGGGGAGCAAACAGG